Molecule: ribosomal RNA, 497 nt
Filed under: uncultured bacterium
Lineage: Bacteria
Description: partial 16S ribosomal RNA
Rfam family: Bacterial small subunit ribosomal RNA
Source: RNAcentral
GAUGAACGCUGGCGGCGUGCCUAAUACAUGCAAGUCGAACGAAAAGACGAUGAGCUUGCUCCUCUGACGUUAGCGGCGGACGGGCGAGUAACACGUGGAAAACCUACCUAUAAGACUGGGAUAACUUCGGGAAACCGGAGCUAAUACCGGAUAAUAUAUUGAACCGCAUGGUUCAAUAGUGAAAGACGGUUUUGCUGUCACUUAUAGAUGGAUAUGGGCCGCAUGAGCUAGUUGGUAAGGUAACGGCUUACCAAGGCGACGAUGCGUAGCCGAACGGAGAGGGUGAUCGGCCACACUGGAACGGGGACACGGUCCAGACUACUACGGGAGGGCGCAGUAGGGAAUCUUCCGCAAUGGGCGAAAGCCUGGCGGAGCAACGCCGCGUGAGUGAUGAAGGUCUUCGGAGCGUAAAACUCUGUUAUUAGGGAUGAACAGAUGUGUAAGUAACUAUGCACGUCUUGACGGUACCUAAUCAGAAAGCCACGGCUAACUACGUG